GCAGGGAUAGUGAAGCGGUCAAACACGGGUGACUGUAAAUCAUCUGGCUCAGCCUUCGGGGGUUCGAAUCCCUCUCCCUGCACCA
RNAcentral lists this transfer RNA (85 nucleotides) under bacterium. Its description in RNAcentral is "tRNA-Tyr". It matches the Rfam family "tRNA". Rfam says of the family: Transfer RNA (tRNA) molecules are approximately 80 nucleotides in length. Their secondary structure includes four short double-helical elements and three loops (D, anti-codon, and T loops). RNAcentral also lists the same sequence under 7 other names. The record is from RNAcentral.